This 465-nucleotide ribosomal RNA is filed under the name Vreelandella stevensii. Its description in RNAcentral is "partial 16S ribosomal RNA". It matches the Rfam family "Bacterial small subunit ribosomal RNA", at positions 338 to 795 of the family's 1533-position model. The record is from RNAcentral. Lineage: Bacteria; Pseudomonadati; Pseudomonadota; Gammaproteobacteria; Oceanospirillales; Halomonadaceae.
CCUACGGGAGGCAGCAGUGGGGAAUAUUGGACAAUGGGCGAAAGCCUGAUCCAGCCAUGCCGCGUGUGUGAAGAAGGCCUUCGGGUUGUAAAGCACUUUCAGUGGGGAAGAAAGCCUUGGGGCUAAUACCCUCGAGGAAGGACAUCACCCACAGAAGAAGCACCGGCUAACUCCGUGCCAGCAGCCGCGGUAAUACGGAGGGUGCGAGCGUUAAUCGGAAUUACUGGGCGUAAAGCGCGCGUAGGCGGUCUGAUAAGCCGGUUGUGAAAGCCCCGGGCUCAACCUGGGAACGGCAUCCGGGACUGUCAGGCUAGAGUGCAGGAGAGGAAGGUAGAAUUCCCGGUGUAGCGGUGAAAUGCGUAGAGAUCGGGAGGAAUACCAGUGGCGAAGGCGGUCUUCUGGACUGACACUGACGCUGAGGUGCGAAAGCGUGGGUAGCAAACAGGAUUAGAUACCCCAGUAGUC